Molecule: non-coding RNA, 428 nt
Organism: Hydra vulgaris (swiftwater hydra)
Lineage: Eukaryota; Metazoa; Cnidaria; Hydrozoa; Anthoathecata; Hydridae
Source: RefSeq, a predicted model, not a curated record
AUCUUGCUAAUGGCCAAAGAAGUAUGUUUUUCAUACUCAGUGUAUGGAAUGAAACAAAAACGUCCUGCAAGGUCGUUAUAGAGUUGCGUUUAGUCAUUUAUCGUUGUAUUCGUUCAUUUCGAAAUCACUACUGACAAAAGUAUUAAAGAAAAAAUUCGCAGCGUUCUGGCGACGGCUAUUAAUAGAGAUUACGGAAGAAAAAUAGAACCGUAACUGAGCAACGCCCAAUAUUGAGCAAUGAAAUAAGUAUCGCCAAUAUAAUGAAAGUCGAUGUCUACUAUCUCAUAGUGAGAGAAUAAUACAGUAGUUUAUAUAUAUAUAAUAACAUUGAUUUUACUUUGUUGUAUUUUGGUUUUGGAAAACUCUAUACCUCUUUUUUUCAUUUGUAUCUGAUUCAUAUAACUUCAAAUAAAUUUAAUGAUUUCGAA